ACUGCCACACUGGCCAGCUCCAGGAAGUUGGGAAAUGAGGUCAGUUGAGAAGAGCUACUAACUGACUGGCAGCAUUAUCAAUUGAAGCAUUUGCAGUCUCUUCUACAGAUUGAAUUGAACUGAAUUGAAUGAAUGGAAGCAUUCCCUUCUACAGGACAAAAGAAGCAAAAGAGAAGAAAUCAAAGAAACGUUGGAAGAGGGAACAUUCUGAUGGGCUGCAAGGGACAAGAGAUUAAUCCAUCAGCAUCAAUCAAAAACAAUGCUAGAUAUAAUAGGUCCACAGGACUCCUUAAGUCAUAGGAGUUUAACCAGCUUUGAGAAGUGUAAAUAGGAAGAAUUCAAACGAUGUGUGCUUACGAUCAAGUAAAUAUACAUCUUAAAUGAAUUAUGUCCUAUGAUGAACAGCAGAAAAGUAAAAAAAGGAAAUUCAAAGGUAGAGGGACAAGAAGGAAGAAAAACAUGGAGCUAAACUUGUCCUUUCUACAACUCAAGAUGGCCAGGAGUAAAACAAAAGAAAAUAAGAAGAGGCUUUUCAAAAAUACAUUGGCAUAACAUGCAACAACAUAUAACAGGGUAAUACAGAAUUACAGAAAUAUAAAUUCUCCAUUCCCAGAAUAGCAGGGUAGAGGAGGAAAACAACUCUGUUGCAGGAUGCAGGAUGCAACUCUGGAGCAGAACUGUAACUUGAGAAAAUAUCUCAGACAACCCUCUCCCUAGAUCUCAUGAAGUUAAAGGGAGGACAUGCUGAGGUGAUUUCAUGCUUGCAAGAUUCUGAUACUAUAAUUUUACAAUAAAAGUAGUAUUGGCAC
Pantherophis guttatus is the source of this 809-nucleotide non-coding RNA. NCBI's taxonomy places the organism in Eukaryota, Metazoa, Chordata, Lepidosauria, Squamata, Colubridae. The record is from RefSeq and is a predicted model, not a curated record.